GGAAUCGUUGUGAAUUAACAUCCUUAUGCCGACGUGUUCCCAACUCAAUGCUAGCAUUGGGGUGCCCUAGCAGGCACCCACUGUGUCCCAUUCCCCACAGCAGCCACACUCUGGCAAUGACAGCAUGCAGUGACAUUUGCCAUCCAGGGUAAGAGUCCAUCCAUUGCUACCAGAGGCACCCCCGUGGUCACUGACCUCUGCUUCCAGUGAGGCUCCUGGACCUGAGCUUCAGCACAGGCUGGAAGAGGUGAAAGGUCCCUCCCUGGCCACCACAGUGGAUUGGGAUGUCAGUCUGCUCACAGAGGUGCCCCAGGCAUGGGAACAGUGCUGCUUCAAAUCAACCAAGAUCCUCAGAAUCCUCUCUGGAGUAUGAAAAAGAACUUCCUGUCACUGGUUGUUUUCUCAUUAAACAAGGAAUUAAGAAAAGAAGAACUGAAACCACUGAUUUUAUGAAAAGAGCAUGGAGACCAGCAGCCCAGGCACUGGAGAGGAAAUUGUCCCCUGGGUAAUAUGGUGCCAUGGAAGUACAAUCUGAUGGCCAAAGUCACCAGAUGGUGCUAUUGUGCACACUAUUUUUGUGCGUGUGUGACCAUCAUCUGUGCUUUGAAGGGACCUUGAGGGGUUUCUCUGUAGGAUGAGGGCUCUGGGGUGGUUUGCUCUCUGCCUUCCUCCCUCCUAGUCCAAUGCAGACCUUGGGGCUGAGCACUUCUAGGCUGAUCACUGCCUCAUUGGCCCCAACUCCCAAAUGGGGCUGCCUCCAUGCCAUUUCACCCUUCACUGUUUGAGGAGAAAGAAUAAAUGAAACUCCCUAUGCACAGAAAACUCCUCAUUCUGAGUCUUUGAUUUCUUCCCCAUGGGAAAUCCAAUCUCCACUCAAGAGGAUGUAAAAAAAAAAAAGCUGGGACUUCCAUCAUGCCCAAGGAGGCAAGGAGCAUAUUUUGCUUGCUGAUCAACAAAAGUGCCUUCUGAAAUAUCCCAAAGCAAAAUUACCCUGCAGACAGGCACAAAAUCCCCAUCCUUUAGGCUACAAGCCCACAGAACUGAAGGGCACUGCUCUGUGCUCCAGGAAAGUGCUUCUUUCUGGAAGGGCUCUGCUUUGAACCCUGUAGAUUAACUCCCAAAAGCAGGAUCAUGGUCAGAGAAGCGCUCUGUGGCACUGAAGCAUGAUGAGCAGAAUGUAUCCCAGGUUCAGAAACGUCUCAGUUCCUGUCACCACCAGAAUAAUAAAUGCAAA
Passer domesticus (house sparrow) is the source of this 1234-nucleotide long non-coding RNA. RefSeq lists it as uncharacterized. The transcript is spliced from 3 exons. NCBI's taxonomy places the organism in Eukaryota, Metazoa, Chordata, Aves, Passeriformes, Passeridae. The record is from RefSeq and is a predicted model, not a curated record.